CACGGGGGGAGCAAGCGUUGUUCGGAUUCAUUGGGCGUAAAGAGCUCGUAGGUGGCUCUGUAAGUCGGUGGUGAAAGCCCACGGCUCAACCGUGGAUACGCCUCCGAAACUGUGGAGCUUGAGGCUGGGAGAGGAAAUCGGAAUUCCUGGUGUAGCGGUGAAAUGCGUAGAUAUCAGGAGGAACACCGGUGGCGAAGGCGGAUUUCUGGACCAGUUCUGACACUGAGGAGCGAAAGCCAGGGGAGCAAACAGG
RNAcentral lists this ribosomal RNA (253 nucleotides) under uncultured bacterium. RNAcentral's name for it is "partial 16S ribosomal RNA". It matches the Rfam family "Bacterial small subunit ribosomal RNA", at positions 524 to 776 of the family's 1533-position model. The record is from RNAcentral.